ACCGACACUCUCCAUAAUAUUUACUGUAGACUACAGUAAUUACCAUAGUUACAAUAUUUAGAGUCUAGUGGAGAAGUACUGUUCAUCCUCUUAUCUUCUCUCUUCUUGUAUACGAAACACAACCAGAUCAAUAGAGGUGUGUGUGAAGCUCUUUCUUCUUAGAAACCCUCUUGUGUGUAUGACUUACUACUACUCUUGUGUGUGUAUGACUUACUACUACUCUUGUGUCUUUCUAAACAUUCUCAACACGUUAUCAGUACGAUUCUCUUCUACACACUAUCACAAUUUUUUUUGCUCUAGUCUUUGGCUCUUCAAACCUAUUGCUAUCCUUGCUUACUGUCUGGAUCAUGAUCUUUUUUCUUCUUGCUGGCCCCUCACACAUUAGUUGCUUGCUUAGAGCACUUGUUCCACUCUCUGCCUUGCUUGCUCUGAAUACUUGAUCCAGCCCAACUCCAC
Molecule: long non-coding RNA, 456 nt
Filed under: Physcomitrium patens
Lineage: Eukaryota; Viridiplantae; Streptophyta; Bryopsida; Funariales; Funariaceae
Description: long non-coding RNA (PPAT_LNC000111)
Source: RNAcentral